This 492-nucleotide ribosomal RNA is filed under the name uncultured bacterium. RNAcentral describes it as "partial 16S ribosomal RNA". It matches the Rfam family "Bacterial small subunit ribosomal RNA", at positions 29 to 507 of the family's 1533-position model. The record is from RNAcentral.
AGUGAACGCUGGCGGUAGGCCUAACACAUGCAAGUCGAACGGCAGCACAGUAAGAGCUUGCUCUUACGGGUGGCGAGUGGCGGACGGGUGAGGAAUACAUCGGAAUCUACUUUUUCGUGGGGGAUAACGUAGGGAAACUUACGCUAAUACCGCAUACGGCCUACGGGUGAAAGCAGGGGAUCUUCGGACCUUGCGCGAUUGAAUGAGCCGAUGUCGGAUUAGCUAGUUGGCGGGGUAAAGGCCCACCAAGGCGACGAUCCGUAGCUGGUCUGAGAGGAUGAACAGCCAAACUGGAACUGAGACACGGUCCAGACUCCUACGGGAGGCAGCAGUGGGGAAUAUUGGACAAUGGGCGCAAGCCUGAUCCAGCCACACCGCGUGGGUGAAGAAGGCCUUCGGGUUGUAAAGCCCUUUUGUUGGGAAAGAAAAGCAGCAGGUUAAUACCCCGCUGUUCUGACGGUACCCAAAGAAUAAGCACCGGCUAACUUCGUG